Myotis daubentonii (Daubenton's bat) is the source of this 690-nucleotide long non-coding RNA. RefSeq lists it as uncharacterized. NCBI's taxonomy places the organism in Eukaryota, Metazoa, Chordata, Mammalia, Chiroptera, Vespertilionidae. The record is from RefSeq and is a predicted model, not a curated record.
UGAAGGAAGCAGCUUUAUCCAGAGUAAUCUGGCCAGAUGCCUGGAAGUCCCAAGCCUGGACGUAGCAAAUAGCCGAAGGUUGAGGAGGUGCAGCGCUAUCACAGAGGCCAUAAAAGCACCGAAGGUACGUGAAAGUCAUUGUAGACAUUUGGGAAACUGAGAAAAGCAUAAAGAAGUGCACACCAGUGAUGACUGGGUUCUGAUCUAGCUCCCCAUCAUCUUUGUCUCACCUGGGUAUUGUCACAGCUUCCUGACUGCUCCCCCUGCCUUAAUCUCUACCCAGCCCAGCAGCCAGAGGAAUCCCGAUGAAAUGGUGAUCACAUAAUGCCGUCCUCCGAACUUCCAUGUUCCCACUUCACCCAGAAUAAAAGCCAGAGCACUUACAAGGGCUUGUGCCCCGCUCGGACCCCCUGACCAACACUGCUUUCUCACUGUCCUGUAAUCAUGGCCCCUAAAUGUCUGCAAGGCUCCUCCCUCACCUUUCCGGUCUUAUUUGAAAUGGUGUCUUUUCAGAGAGGCCCUCAUGCCCGCUUCUGUACAGUCAGGGGCCCUCUUUGCUGUGCCGUCAUCCCAUAUACUAGAGUUUAUCCUGUUUAUUAUCUGUCUUCUCCAUAAAGGCAGAGCUUUCUAUCUGGUUUUGUUUGCAGAUGUCUUUGUUUUCUAAAGCAUAACAAAUCACCCCAAAAUUUA